This 253-nucleotide ribosomal RNA is filed under the name uncultured bacterium. RNAcentral describes it as "partial 16S ribosomal RNA". It matches the Rfam family "Bacterial small subunit ribosomal RNA", at positions 524 to 776 of the family's 1533-position model. The record is from RNAcentral.
GACGAACCUUGCUAACGUUAUUCGGAAUUACUGGGCGUAAAGCGUGCGCAGGCGGUUUUGUAAGACAGAUGUGAAAUGCCCGGGCUUAACCUGGGAACUGCAUUUGUGACUGCAAGGCUAGAGUGUGUCAGAGGGGGGUAGAAUUCCACGUGUAGCAGUGAAAUGCGUAGAUAUGUGGAGGAAUACCGAUGGCGAAGGCAGCCCCCUGGGAUAACACUGACGCUCAUGCACGAAAGCGUGGGGAGCAAACAGG